Molecule: ribosomal RNA, 910 nt
Filed under: Arthrobacter tumbae
Lineage: Bacteria; Bacillati; Actinomycetota; Actinomycetes; Micrococcales; Micrococcaceae
Description: bacterial SSU rRNA
Rfam family: Bacterial small subunit ribosomal RNA
Source: RNAcentral
GGGCGUAAAGAGCUCGUAGGCGGUUUGUCGCGUCUGCCGUGAAAGUCCGGGGCUUAACUCCGGAUCUGCGGUGGGUACGGGCAGACUUGAGUGAUGUAGGGGAGACUGGAAUUCCUGGUGUAGCGGUGAAAUGCGCAGAUAUCAGGAGGAACACCGAUGGCGAAGGCAGGUCUCUGGGCAUUAACUGACGCUGAGGAGCGAAAGCAUGGGGAGCGAACAGGAUUAGAUACCCUGGUAGUCCAUGCCGUAAACGUUGGGCACUAGGUGUGGGGGACAUUCCACGUUUUCCGCGCCGUAGCUAACGCAUUAAGUGCCCCGCCUGGGGAGUACGGCCGCAAGGCUAAAACUCAAAGGAAUUGACGGGGGCCCGCACAAGCGGCGGAGCAUGCGGAUUAAUUCGAUGCAACGCGAAGAACCUUACCAAGGCUUGACAUGAACCGGAACGGCGCAGAGAUGUGUCGGCCACUUGUGGCCGGUUUACAGGUGGUGCAUGGUUGUCGUCAGCUCGUGUCGUGAGAUGUUGGGUUAAGUCCCGCAACGAGCGCAACCCUCGUUCCAUGUUGCCAGCGGGUUAUGCCGGGGACUCAUGGGAGACUGCCGGGGUCAACUCGGAGGAAGGUGGGGACGACGUCAAAUCAUCAUGCCCCUUAUGUCUUGGGCUUCACGCAUGCUACAAUGGCCGGUACAAAGGGUUGCGAUGCUGUGAGGUGGAGCUAAUCCCAAAAAGCCGGUCUCAGUUCGGAUUGAGGUCUGCAACUCGACCUCAUGAAGUCGGAGUCGCUAGUAAUCGCAGAUCAGCAACGCUGCGGUGAAUACGUUCCCGGGCCUUGUACACACCGCCCGUCAAGUCACGAAAGUUGGUAACACCCGAAGCCGGUGGCCUAACCCCUUGGGGAGGGAGCCUCGAAGG